Molecule: long non-coding RNA, 243 nt
Organism: Saccostrea echinata
Lineage: Eukaryota; Metazoa; Mollusca; Bivalvia; Ostreida; Ostreidae
Exons: 3
Source: RefSeq, a predicted model, not a curated record
GAGGAUUUGAUGUUUAAUUGAGGAAAUGGAUAAAAAAUUGGUAUGUGUCGAGCAACUAUAGCCACCUGAUAGAAGGGUAAAUUAGAAAGUUCAGAUUACAUUAUGCCAACAGAGAUGAUAACAAUGCCAACCAAGCUAAAAGUUGUCCAGGAAAACUUUUGUAUUGGAGACAAGACAAGUUAAUGACUUAAUGAUAGACUCACUGCAGAGAGAGAUGUUGGAAAAGUGGAUUUUGUUAACAAA